GUUUAAAUCGCGCUUACAUCAUAGAAUCAUAAUUUGCUCUUGCUGCUGCCUUUAAUCAAGGGGUUCUGAGCCAUUAGAUUUCAAUCAAGCCUUUGAGCUCAGAUAGUUCUUUCUUUCACGAUCCUUUCGUAGUUGUGCCAGCUUUGAAUAAUUUGAUCGGCGAGACAAAACAUUUCCAGCUCUCUUUUGGAAAUCAAAACACUGACUUU
Molecule: long non-coding RNA, 209 nt
Organism: Pyrus x bretschneideri (Chinese white pear)
Lineage: Eukaryota; Viridiplantae; Streptophyta; Magnoliopsida; Rosales; Rosaceae
Exons: 2
Source: RefSeq, a predicted model, not a curated record